This 440-nucleotide long non-coding RNA is filed under the name Homo sapiens (human). RNAcentral's name for it is "HSALNT0290263". Lineage: Eukaryota; Metazoa; Chordata; Mammalia; Primates; Hominidae. The record is from RNAcentral.
GCGGCCGCGGGCGACUCCUGGUACCCCCGAGGCCCCGCGAACUCACCUUCACAAAGCUGUCGGCGUCCGGGAAGCCUGGCAGCACCAUCUCUCCGUCGGAUUUGGUUGCGCUGGUCGCCGACAGGACCCUGGGCUCCCGGGUAAGCUCCUGAAGAAAGCGUCUAGCUCCAACUGUGCUUCCUCCCUCCAGUACCCUCUGAACUCCUCCAAGCAGACGUUGUUUCCUGCAGACAUCGCUGGAACCAUUCUGGUUAACACAGAGUGGGAACUCAGUACACAUUUGUGAAGUGAACUCCUGGAAGAGCUCUUGUGAGGGAGGCACCGAAUUAUCAGGCAGCUCAAGAGAUAGAUUCACUCUCCUGAAAUUAGAGAUGGGAUGCCCUUAAUACAAUUCAUUCCACCCAUUAAGUCUUCAAUAAAUGUUCAGCAUAUCCAGUUAA